Molecule: transfer RNA, 73 nt
Filed under: Marmota monax (woodchuck)
Lineage: Eukaryota; Metazoa; Chordata; Mammalia; Rodentia; Sciuridae
Description: tRNA.Ala
Source: RNAcentral
GUGGGGCUGGGGCUCAGUGGCAGAGCGCUUGCUUAGCAUGUGUGAGGCACUGGGUUCGAUCCUCAGCACCACA